GACCCCGUAGUUCAACGGAUAGAAUAAGGCACUCCUAAGGCUUAGAUACAGGUUCGAUUCCUGUCGGGGCCACCA
RNAcentral lists this transfer RNA (75 nucleotides) under Patescibacteria group bacterium. Its description in RNAcentral is "tRNA-Arg". It matches the Rfam family "tRNA". Rfam says of the family: Transfer RNA (tRNA) molecules are approximately 80 nucleotides in length. Their secondary structure includes four short double-helical elements and three loops (D, anti-codon, and T loops). The record is from RNAcentral.